Molecule: long non-coding RNA, 907 nt
Organism: Dreissena polymorpha
Lineage: Eukaryota; Metazoa; Mollusca; Bivalvia; Myida; Dreissenidae
Exons: 3
Source: RefSeq, a predicted model, not a curated record
CCAACGUGUCGAGUCAAAGUGGGUGGGGAAAGAGAUUGCUUCUGGAUUUAAAGUUGCUGUAACUUCUUGAGGAAGCUGUUGUUGUCCAGGAUUCAGAAGUGCUGCCAGUUGUGAAUGGGACGAAGAUGAAAUGGCGAUGCUUUCGCGCUGCAUCAUGCUUUGGGACAUGCUUGAUGCAAUGGAUUCGUUGCUUUUGGCAAUGCUAGUACCUGCCAAAAUAUUGGAACAUUUCUUUUGAGUCUGAAUGGAAAUGUUGCUAUAGUUAAUUAUGCUUUGAACGUUUUUGUGUCCACUGAUUUGCAUUAUAUCCGUGGAGCAGCAUCCUGAAUCCCGCAGCUUCUGAACCAUGUGCUUCCUGGCAGAGUGAUUUAAACAACGAACCUGUAAGUUGCGACAACACAUUUGGAUGGGUCUUCAUCAUUGGCCCACAUUCUUGGCGGCACAGUUCUUGCUUCGUCAGUUGCACCCGUUCGAGUCUUUGUCUGCCUCUCGACCAACUCCAGAUACUCAUCUCCUUCUACGUCUCGGCACAGCUUCACAUCACCCCAUCUAAUUAAUUCGGAAAGGUUGACGACCAGUGAAAACAAUGUUAUUUUCAGUUAAAGUUGUGGUGACAGAACAGUCUACGAACAAAUUUUUAGAUACAUGUUCAUGUACAAUCUAAAUUGCAGACACUGGAAAGUUGAAUUGUUAAUGUGUUAUAAGACAUAGUUCGCCUUUAUAUUUAUAAGACAGAAAAAGUGACAGAAAAAUUUGCAAUUUUAAGUAAUAGUUAUAAGUCAAGAUGCAUCGUAUAUAUUCUGUAUUCCAGCAAGUUUGAAAUUUUAUUUUUUACCGUAAAUUGUAAUGUUCUUCCACACUCCGCAUGCCGAAGUUUGUUGUGAAUCGGAACCAUAGAGAGUUUAUU